GGCGGUAUAGCUCAGUGGUAGAGCAUUUGACUGCAGAUCAAGAGGUCUCCAGUUCAAAUCUGGAUGCCCCCU
Molecule: transfer RNA, 72 nt
Filed under: Nothobranchius furzeri (turquoise killifish)
Lineage: Eukaryota; Metazoa; Chordata; Actinopteri; Cyprinodontiformes; Nothobranchiidae
Description: tRNA-Cys (GCA) (tRNA-Cys-GCA-8-1, tRNA-Cys-GCA-8-2)
Rfam family: tRNA
About the family: Transfer RNA (tRNA) molecules are approximately 80 nucleotides in length. Their secondary structure includes four short double-helical elements and three loops (D, anti-codon, and T loops).
Source: Rfam by way of RNAcentral